Molecule: long non-coding RNA, 7067 nt
Organism: Arvicola amphibius (Eurasian water vole)
Lineage: Eukaryota; Metazoa; Chordata; Mammalia; Rodentia; Cricetidae
Exons: 3
Source: RefSeq, a predicted model, not a curated record
GUUAGAAGAAGGUGCUAGAUCCCCUGGAAUUGGAGUUCCAUCAUGUGGGUGCUGAGAAUCAAAUCCAGGUCCUGUACAAGAGUAAGAAGUGCUUUUAACCACUGAACUAUCUCUACAGACCGAAGAAAUAUUUGAUCUCUGCUUAAAUUAAGAGUUCAUGAUCUAGUUGGACUGGACUGUCUUCAACCCCUCUCAGCAUUAAGGUGACAAGCAUGUGCCAGUUCCUCAAAAGAAGAUCAAAGUGUGGGCGCAGCGGUAGAGACUCUGUAUUGACAUCCGUUCAGGCGCAAUUGCCGGGCUGCUUUGAAGGUAUCUGCUGGAAGGAGGCUGGCAGUUUUUGGAACGAGCUGGCAGCUGUGGUGUGGGAGUGGUAGGACAAGGUGAAACAGGUUACCUGCCCAGUGGAGGUAGCUGUGAACUGGAAGCUUCCCAGCAUCAUUCUCAGCAGUGACAGGAACUCUUUGUCCUCAUAGUCAAAGCGGUCCCCGAAAACGAUGGAGCUAAUGACGUUGGAAACUGUUCUGCUCAGGUAGAAGGUAGGGUCAAUGAGAGCACCUGUAGGUAAGGAGGAGAACGGAGAGCGAGACACUGGAGCUAGGAAAAGGGCUUCCACCGGAAGAGAAUUCAAAAUGAGCACUGGCUGUCUGGCUGAGUCCGCCAACUCCUCCAAAACCGGACAGCGGGACCAGGACGCUCUUCCCUAGCUUAGUUCCCAUCCUAGAUCUUGGUACUGUUUUUCCAAGGGUGUCUUCCCCUUGGUCAGUCCUGAGAACUUGCGGAGCUCUGCUUACCGUUUGUCUUCCGGAAUGUCUCCAGGAGAAAGCCCGCCUCCUCUUGGAUGCGCUCCUCAAUGCCACGCUUACCCACACCGAAGUCUCGCAGUGUGGCGAUGGAGAAGCGCCGCAGCUGCUUAGCGCGCUCCCCGCUGCUGAAGGCAACGCCUGGAAAGGAGAGUGAGAGGCGGGAGAGGUCAGAGAAGAGGGAUGUGGCUGACUACUUACCACCCUUGCUCUGUUCCCCAAGAGCGAGUUAGAGAACAGAAGAAAGAGGGAGACAGAGGAGGACAGAUGCCAGAGGCGCAGAGACAGAGGGACAGGGCAGAGGCUAGAGAAGGGAGACUGUGGAGAUUUGGGGGUGGAUACAGUUGUGAAAGAUUUAUAAUUGAACUAGGGAAGAGAGGGAAAUAAGGAGAGAGGGACAAAGAGAGUCUGGGAAAAGGCGAGAUUGCAGCUUGGAUACUGGGUUGGGAACAGAGUUCUGUGAUGCUCUGACAGUGGAAGAAGACAGCAGUGGAGAAGAGAGAGAAUCACAGAAGCUAAGAGCAAUGGGGUAGAGGGGAGCCUGUUAGAGGCACAGGAUUUAGAUAGAGAAAUCUCAAGGUGCAAGAGGAGGUGUGGGUGGCGUGUGUGAGGCAGGGGUCAGGAGACACAGGCGGAGAGAGACAGGAAGAUUAGGAUGCAAUGGGUCCUAGAACUGGCCCAGCAGGAGGCAGCGAUGUGGACAAAAGAGUCCCUGAGAAGGCGGGAAACUGAUGCCUUCCAAUUGUUCCCUGCCACAUUCCCCUGCAUCUUGUCCCCCUCACCAUAGCCUUUGAAGAGCCAGUCAAAGGUGGCUUGUUCGCCACGCCCACUGAAUUCCUCAGCUUGGUCCACCAGAGCCUCCUUGACUGCUUCCUGUCCACAUAGUACCACAAUUCGGCGAGGCCCCAGGUAGAUGGUGAACACGGGACCGUAGCGUUCGCUGAUCUGAUAGAGGAGGAUGAGCAAAGUAAGAGGAAAGAGGUCAGAACUUGGUGACAGGUCUGGGAUUCAUUUCUCUGGAGUUCUAACAGCUACCAGAUGGGAUGCCCCAAGAUGUGGUCUCACAUGCCUAUGAGUUGGUUGCUGACUCUUCACAAUUCUACCAGCCUAAAAUUACACCCCCUAGGGUCAAUACCCUACCACAAAGCCUCUAUCAAAACUGGGCAUCCCUAUGUGCCCCAUUCUACCCUUCACACUGCCCAGUGGCACCUUCAUGAGGGAGUUGUACAUCUGCUCUGUGUUCAGCUGAAGGUAGUUUCCGAUGAAGGGCAGUGGGGUGGGUCCUGGAGGCAGCUUCCCUGAAAAUUUCCUCUGCUUCCAGACAGACAUGAAGACCAGGACAAUAAGGAAGGCCAGCACAGUCACCAGGAGCAGUCCCGAGGCCAGCAUGGUGGCGAUGAGGGUGACAGACAGCUGGUGAAGGCUGCAGUAGUUUGCUUUUAUACAUCCUGAGGUAGAAGGUGGCCUUUGGCCUUGAUUAUGCAACUGUCUCAUUUCACCUCCAGACUACCACCCCCCAUCACGCAACUAGCUUGAGACAAGGUCAACAACUGAGGAGGAAGAGGAGGGCCCAUGAGGGAUUAACAGGGAGUGGACUGAAUUUAUGACAUCUGAGGAGGAAGUACUCUAAGACUAUGCGUUACAGAGGAAAGGGACAGUAGACAGAAGCCAGAACUGAAUCCUUCAUGACAUUUGUAUUGGAGACCCUUCUGAGCUCUGGGUGUGGGUUCUCAUUGGCUUGAAACAGAAUGUACAGCUAUGAGUUUGGAAGUUCAUUUUCUUCCUUGUCUGAGACAAGUUCUCACUAUGUAAUCCUGACUGGCCUGAAGCUCAAUAUGUAGAUCACAGAAAUCUACCUGCCUCUGCCUCCAAAGUGCUGGAUUAUAGGCCUGCACCACUACCCCCAACUCCAGGAGCCCAAUGAAAAGAGUCCUGGAUUUAAGAAAGGGGAGACUUCAGGGCUAUGGGUUGUGGAUCUUGAGGCAAGAAUGGCUUUGGAUAAGGGAGAAGCAUAUGGAAAUUCCAGCAGGAUCUUGGAAUCAACACCUGUACCUGGGUAUGGAUCUACUUUGAUUUUGACCCUAGGCUCUUUCUUGAUACCCAGAACCAUUAGGGAAAUACCUGAGUCUAGGAUAGGAACAUAGGAUCCGGGAAAGGUGGGGAAGACAGAAGCCCUAUUUCAAAGGAAACUUGCACAGUACUAGAGACAAUAUCUGGGGGUCACAGUCAUCAGAGGGUCUGUCUAGUUCUUGAGGAAUGAUUAUAACAACCACCAAAAUAGUAGAGAAGUUCUAAUUUACAAAAGCACCCCCCCAUUCCUAUCCAGAUCCUUAGGAAAGGCCACCAGGCUCACUGGCUCAUGGCUGUUGUAAUUUACAAAAGUUCCCUAUUUUAUAUAUGGAUGCACUGAGAAUAGGACACAGGGUAGCAUGGGGGCCACAUACGUAAAAACCCUGCAAACCAAAACCAUCAAAAUCUUCCUUAGCCUACAGUUCCUCUUUCUCUUUCUAGACUUCUUUUCCCAGCCAGUGGAAAGAGAACAUGGAGCGGGUAAUAACUGGGGUGUGUGGUCAGCGGACUGAUGCCAGCAUUGCCAGGGUUUGCUAUUAGCUGGAGAGGGACUUAGGUAAGCAUCCAGCAUGGGGAACAGAAGAGGACCCUGGGAUGCUAAGGGUAGCCACAGAGAAGGGAAUAGUCCACAGUUCUCCCACACUGAAAAUUGUUUAGAAUAAUUAGGGUAGUUACCUUUUGAUAAAUAUGUACCUCAGGAAGAUCAUAUGUAUCCCAUCUGUGGAAUGUUAGCCACUAUAGAGUUGUGGUGACCCCAACCUCACUGAGAUUGCCAAGAUCACGAAGGAGUUGUAAUUCAACUUGCUUUUCUCUUCGUUGCCUGGCCCAGCUUAUUCUGGGACAGGGUGGGUGCUGAGAUUGGGAUCUGCAGUGGACAAAAGACAAGACACCAGCAGUUGCUAUGUCAGUAUUAAGCAGAUCCAGGAGGGAGGAGGAUGGGGUUGGCAUUGAGAUUGUCCCCAGGAAGCACUAGGGCAGAAAGAACUUAGCACUAAACUUAGCAACAAGGGGAUUUUAGUAGAAUCAGUUCUUAGGCUAAGAGGGACCUUGAGAGUGGAGGUAAGCUGUCACUGAAUUGCCUGAAUUGAAGGCAUAAGAUCAGCAUCAUACAGUCUCUGGAUUUGGUUCCAGCAGAUUCUGACAUAAACAUGAGGUACUUGCUGAGACUGACCUCAGCUAGACCCUGGGAGGGACCUCUGGUGGACACUGGCAGGCUUUGAUGGAUGGACCAUUCAUGGUGGUGCCCUAGCCUAGCUUUUGACAGGUGGAGGUGGGUGAGGCUGGAACUCCCAUGUCUGGCAUGUUGCUCAUCUCAUUUUAGGCUGUUGGACUCUGAGACCUGUGGGAGAGAAACAAAGGGCAGAAGAAAGCUGUUUGUUGAUUUUGGAGGAGAAAGAGGCGGGGAAUGGGAUUAGCCUAGGCUUGGCAGGUGGCAAUCUCCCUUUUAUCCUUAUCACCAGCCUGCACCUGCACCAGCCCGAGCCUGGACCUCUUCCCCCCCACCCCCCCACCGCUGCUUCCACUUGAAUAGGAGAAAGGGAGCAAUUUGGAGAAUUUGUUUCUCAGUGAGGGUGGCACCAGGAAGGACCCCAAGUGUUCAGGCAGGCUCCCAUGUUCUGUACAGGGGGUGGAAGUGGGAGGGCCAGAAUGGGAACUGAGCUUAAAGAGCUCAAGAGAGAUCAAGUGUAUUUGCUCUUAAUGAUUUUUGCGGGCCCAUGAAUGUUAGAGCAGAAACUAAAGUCACGUGGGAGAGACACUGGCACGCGAACGAGGGAUGGGUGCCUACAGUCACCUGGAAGAGACAUGUGCAAGUGGCAGUGCCUCAAGACAGGCUUCCAGAGUGAGUUAGUGGUGAUGCAGAAAAUCCCCUUUGAUGGACCUCAGUUACCCUUUCUGGUUGAGUGAUUAAGAGCAAGAGUAAGGCACAAAAUGGAACCCUGUCUUGGGCAGAUACCACCCUCCACCACCUCACAAUCCAGUCAGUCUUCCCAAAUUCCUCUCUGCUGUUGUGUGUCCGUUAAGAGCUGACUUCAUUGACAACAUGAGUUUUAGGGGUUCAAGGACUGAGUUUAUGUACCUCUUGGUAGUAAUGUAUGAGUAAAUAUAUAAAACUAACAAAUAUUAGCUGUUUUAUCCAAGCGUUAUCGCAGCUUAUUAAUCUAUAAGAAAAAGGAGAUGGAUUGAUGUUACUCUAAGCCUCAAUCUGCCUUUUGCAAUCUCUGGUUUUCAUUGCAGCAUAGAGGGUCCAGCACUGGAAGACCAUUGUCAGGUGUUCUCCCCCAGAAUUCUCUGUCCCACACAUUCUAGCACUAGGAAAGUUAGCCAGCAAGGAGACAAUUUCCUGGUCAGUUCAAGAUUGACCUCUCUAUGUCCUGCAGCCAAAGUUGGUGGUGUCUUCAGCAACAGGGUCCUAACAUCUAGCUAUGGGGGGAAGGCAGAAGGCAGAACUAUAGCGAUAGCCUGUCUUGUUUUGAGUGCCUCCAGGACCAGAAGAGGGUGUCUGAGAAACCUCCCUCCCCAAUACUUCUAUACUGAAGUCAAACAUUACUGUCCUUCCACCCCUGAAGCUCUGAACAGGAAGUUUAUCCUGGGGGGCUGGUGCUCUAUUGGGCAAUUUUUGAGCAAACAUAGGUUAUUAUUAGAUGUUCAGACUGUUCUGGAUGGAGCUGGAGCCUGCCCAGGAUUUUGCCUUGAUGUCUGUCUUCUCUCCUCAUCCCCAAGAGUCCUCUGUGUUUAUGGAUAUCUUCAUGUUAUGAUCAUUUUGACUAGUAAAUUAUGACAGGUGCUUCUGCCCUGACAAGCUUUGUUUACACAUUCUUCUGUGUGAAUUAUUUUGAGUACAUGUUUGUGGUCUCUGUGGGAAUGCAUGUUGCAACAUGAUUGUAUUAGUUACUAUUCUGUUGCUGUGGUAAGACACCAUGACCAAGACAAAGAGUUGAAAUACUCCCAUGGGACAUGUGUGUCCUAGAUCCCGAAGACUCUUUACUUCCCACUGAACAUAUUCAGAAAUUCUCUCAAAGAUUCGUUCCUGGGAUAUUGCCUCCAACACCUAUAAGCCAGUCAAUAUUUUCAGUAGUCAUUGAACUAGUGUUCACUGAACGGUGUCAGUUCUGUGCUGAGGGAUACAGGGGUGUUCACAGGCCUUGGGCCCGGCUUCACUGAAGGCUUUUGACCAAGGAUCCAGGAGACAUUGGUCACCAGUGACAGGUUAGAUGGAUGGUGACAUGGAGGGAAGCCACAGGGGAUCGGACUGAAUAGGGAAGAAAUACUUGUCUGUAGGAAGCCAGAAAUGGCAACGGACUCAACCUUGUGUGUUUACGGAAGACCACCAGAAGGAGCAGUUGGGAUGUCUUAUUGGGAGAGUAGACAAAGUUAGGAGAUAGUGUUCCAGACAGAAGCAACAGCAUUCACGAGGGACCUACAUGCUUGGCUGAGUGAAAUUAGAGAUACGAGGAUGUAUUGAUGCCAAGGCCUGGGCCACACGUGAAAGCCAGAUCACAUGGUGCUUUAGGUAAUGUAGUGAGGGGCCUGGGGUUCAUCUUGAAGCAACAGGGAGCCAAGGGGAUGUCUAAUGAGAGUAAAAAGAUGGUCACAUUCGUGUUUGAGGAAGAUCCUUCAGUUUUCUGGGAUGGGAUAAUAGUGGAGACUGUCAAGCGAGGGAGUGUGUGCUGCAGGCAUCCCGAUGUGAGUGUGGGGAUGGAACCUGCCUGGAGAAAGGCCGAGGAGGGACAAUUCACCAUUACUUCGGUACAUCCUGCCUAUGUGGGUGAUAGCUGGGAGUGUGUCAUUUAGACUUGAAGGCACAGAACAAGGUCAGGUUGGAGGCAAGGCAUGAUGGGUUUAGCUUGGGACAGCCUGACAAACCAGACUAAGUCACUUCCAGGGAUCUUGAAGCAGAGCAAACACAGAGGAAUCAGUCUUAGAUGGUCCUAUUAUUCUUUCUUAUUACUUGUAAUAACGGACCACGGAGGACUGAGGCUUGGGAAGGUGUUCCAAGGACAGCCCUGUGGGAAAUGCUUCUUGGAGAAUGGGUUCUCCAGGGAGGAGGGGAAAGACGAACUCUAGUAGACUCAUUCCCAUUCGAGCCGGGUCUCAGACAUGAGGGGAGUGAAACAGAACAGAACGGGUGCUUGACGGUCACCCCUCCCCCACGCUGCCCCCACUCACUUUAAUCUCAUCUGUUAACUUCCUGUCUGC